This 23-nucleotide unclassified non-coding RNA is filed under the name Mus musculus (house mouse). Its description in RNAcentral is "oocyte_clustered_small_RNA1466". Lineage: Eukaryota; Metazoa; Chordata; Mammalia; Rodentia; Muridae. The record is from RNAcentral.
ACUACAGUUUUCCCACCCUCUAG